CCCCUCCAGAUUCCCAGCCCCUUGAACUGAAAUUUUGGUCCGAGGGGUGAAAAAAAGGAGGAAAAUAAAACUGAAAUGGACUUGGAGUCUUCAAUGACAUAGAAGUUCAUCUCAAAUAUUU
RNAcentral lists this small nucleolar RNA (121 nucleotides) under Echinops telfairi (small Madagascar hedgehog). RNAcentral's name for it is "Small nucleolar RNA SNORA61 (ENSETEG00000026174.1)". The record is from RNAcentral. Lineage: Eukaryota; Metazoa; Chordata; Mammalia; Afrosoricida; Tenrecidae.